AUUGAACGCUGGCGGCAUGCCUUACACAUGCAAGUCGAACGGCAGCACGGGGCAACCUGGUGGCGAGUGGCGAACGGGUGAGUAAUGCAUCGGAACGUGCCAUUGAGUGGGGGAUAACGUAGCGAAAGUUGCGCUAAUACCGCAUAUUCUGUGAGCAGGAAAGCAGGGGACCGCAAGGCCUUGCGCUCUUUGAGCGGCCGAUGUCAGAUUAGCUAGUUGGUGAGGUAACGGCUUACCAAGGCGACGAUCUGUAGCGGGUCUGAGAGGAUGAUCCGCCACACUGGAACUGAGACACGGUCCAGACUCCUACGGGAGGCAGCAGUGGGGAAUUUUGGACAAUGGGCGCAAGCCUGAUCCAGCCAUGCCGCGUGAGUGAAGAAGGCCUCGGUUGUAAGACGUCUUUCGUCCGGGACGGAAAGUAC
Molecule: ribosomal RNA, 422 nt
Filed under: uncultured bacterium
Lineage: Bacteria
Description: bacterial SSU rRNA
Rfam family: Bacterial small subunit ribosomal RNA
Source: RNAcentral